GCGCGCGAAGUCGUAAGCGUCGUCGUCAGCGGUUAGCCCUAAAAAGCGUUUCCGCGCGACACGCCCGGCCCGCGCGCGGCCCAACUUUAAAUCCCACCGCGGUGCUCUUCACUGAGUGUCGAGGUGGGACGGCACGUUUACUUUGAACAAAAUUAGAGUGCUUAAAAGCAGGCCAAAAAUUCGCCUGAAUAUUCUGUGCAUGGAAUAAUGGAAUAGGACCUCGGUUCUAUUUUGUUGGUUUUCGGAACCCCGAGGUAAUGAUUAAUAGGAACGGAUGGGGGCAUUCGUAUUGCGACGUUAGAGGUGAAAUUCUUGGAUCGUCGCAAGACGGACAGAAGCGAAAGCAUUUGCCAAAAACGCUUUCAUUGAUCAAGAACGAAAGUUAGAGGUUCGAAGGCGAUCAGAUACCGCCCUAGUUCUAACCAUAAACGAUGCCAGCUAGCGAUCCGCCGACGUUCCUCCGAUGACUCGGCGGGCAGCUUCCGGGAAACCAAAGCUUUUGGGUUCCGGGGGAAGUAUGGUUGCAAAGCUGAAACUUAAAGGAAUUGACGGAAGGGCACCACCAGGAGUGGAGCCUGCGGCUUAAUUUGACUCAACACGGGAAACCUCACCAGGCCCGGACACCGGGAGGAUUGACAGAUUGAGAGCUCUUUCUUGAUUCGGUGGGUGGUGGUGCAUGGCCGUUCUUAGUUGGUGGAGCGAUUUGUCUGGUUAAUUCCGAUAACGAACGAGACUCUAGCCUGCUAAAUAGGCGUACUUUCGACAUCCCAAAGGCCCGUCGUCCGGUAGCGCCGCUCGCGCCUCGCGCGCGACGUCGCCCGGGCGUUCGCGGUUUUUACUGUCGGCGUACAAUUUAUUCUUCUUAGAGGGACAGGCGGCUUCUAGCCGCACGAGACUGAGCAAUAACAGGUCUGUGAUGCCCUUAGAUGUUCUGGGCCGCACGCGCGCUACACUGAAGGAAUCAGCGUGUCCUCCCUGGCCGAACGGCCCGGGUAACCCGCUGAACCUCCUUCGUGCUAGGGAUUGGGGCUUGCAAUUCUUCCCCAUGAACGAGGAAUUCCCAGUAAGCGCGAGUCAUAAGCUCGCGUUGAUUACGUCCCUGCCCUUUGUACACACCGCCCGUCGCUACUACCGAUUGAAUGAUUUAGUGAGGUCUUCGGACUGGUACUCGAUGGCGUUUCGACGUCGCCG
RNAcentral lists this ribosomal RNA (1191 nucleotides) under Aulacocyclus fracticornis. Its description in RNAcentral is "bacterial SSU rRNA". It matches the Rfam family "Eukaryotic small subunit ribosomal RNA", at positions 682 to 1742 of the family's 1831-position model. Lineage: Eukaryota; Metazoa; Arthropoda; Insecta; Coleoptera; Passalidae. The record is from RNAcentral.